This 675-nucleotide ribosomal RNA is filed under the name Asparagopsis taxiformis. RNAcentral describes it as "eukaryotic LSU rRNA". It matches the Rfam family "Eukaryotic large subunit ribosomal RNA", at positions 1285 to 1966 of the family's 3401-position model. The record is from RNAcentral. Lineage: Eukaryota; Rhodophyta; Florideophyceae; Bonnemaisoniales; Bonnemaisoniaceae.
ACAACUCACCUGCCGAAUGGACUAGCCCUGAAAAUGGAUGGCGCUGAAGCGGGUGGCCGAGACCACACCGUUUGACGAAUUGGCAACUCGUCGAAUGAGUAGGAGGGCGUGGCGGCCGUGGAGAAGCCGGUGGGCAAUCACUGGUGGAACGGCCGCGAGUGCAGAUCUUGGUGGUAGUAGCAAAUAUUCAAGUGGGUGAACAAACCUUGAAGGGUGAAGCGGGGAAGGGUUUUAUGUGAACAUUGAUUGGGCAUAAGUGAGUCGUUCCUAAGCUGCUGGUUUAUUCUCUCGGGAAUUUUUCUGGCGAAAGGGAAGCAGGUUGACAUUCCUGCACACGGAUGUGGAGGCGGUGACGCCGUUUGAGACAAACACGUUGGCGACAGCUCUGGGCAGAGUUAUCUUUUCUGUUUGACGUCAGGGUGCGCUGUGUGGAAUCCGCUUGUCGGGAGAAACACGCGUGCCCGGGCAGAGCGCCGGACUUUUCCGGCGUCCAGAUCGCUGUCGACAGCCCUUGAAACUUUGUCUGCUGAAGUGAACAAUCCACGCCGUGACGUACCGAUAACCGCAUCAGGUCCCCAAGGUGAACAGCCUCUACUCAAUAUGAACAAUGCAGAUAAGGGAAGUCGGCAAAUUGGACCUGUAACUUUGGGAAAAAGUUGGCUCUAGUGCUGCGCG